RNAcentral lists this ribosomal RNA (254 nucleotides) under uncultured bacterium. RNAcentral's name for it is "partial 16S ribosomal RNA". It matches the Rfam family "Bacterial small subunit ribosomal RNA", at positions 524 to 776 of the family's 1533-position model. The record is from RNAcentral.
UACAGAGGUCUCAAGCGUUGUUCGGAUUCAUUGGGCGUAAAGGGUGCGUAGGCGGCGCGGUAAGUCGGGUGUGAAAUCUCGGAGCUUAACUCCGAAACUGCAUUCGAAACUGCCGUGACUCGAGUCCGGUAGGGGAGUGUGGAAUUCCCGGUGUAGCGGUGAAAUGCGCAGAUAUCGGGAGGAACACCAGUAGCGAAGGCGGCACUCUGGGCCGGUACUGACGCUGAGGAGCGAAAGCGUGGGGAGCGAACAGG